GGCCAGUUAGCUCACUCUAUUAGAGCAUGGUGCUGAUAACACCAAGGUCAUGGGUUCGAUCCCUGUUUGGUCC
This 73-nucleotide transfer RNA is filed under the name Apaloderma vittatum (bar-tailed trogon). It matches the Rfam family "tRNA". Rfam says of the family: Transfer RNA (tRNA) molecules are approximately 80 nucleotides in length. Their secondary structure includes four short double-helical elements and three loops (D, anti-codon, and T loops). The record is from Rfam by way of RNAcentral. Lineage: Eukaryota; Metazoa; Chordata; Aves; Trogoniformes; Trogonidae.